GGCUACAGCUCCGUUGGACACCUAGCCUGGGAACCUCUGUAUGCCUUGGAUGAGGCCCUAAAAAAAAAAGAUCAAAAAAAAAAAAGUAUCAUUGCCGCAGUCAUAGAGCCAGGGUGCAAUCAAGCAUGACUCACAAUGGCUAAGAGGUGAAAGGUACCAAGAGUUGUCCAUGGAUGGAUGAAAGGAUAAACACACGUGGUGCAGAUGCACAGGGAGUAGUACCCGGCUUGAAAAAGGAAGGAAACGCUGACACACGCUGCAGCCUGGAUGAACCCUGAGGAUGUUAUGCGAAGUGAAAUAAGCCACUCACAAAGAAAGAGAAGUCCUAGAAGAUCCCACUUAGAUGAGGUACUUAGAGCCGUCAAACUCACGCAAAUGACCAUUGGUGUGAAAGUCAAAUGAGUUGCCAGGACCUGAGGUGGAGGGAGACAUGGGCCGUGGUCGUUUACAGGUGCAGGUUUCGGUUUUGCACGAUGAAAAAGUCCUGGAGAUGUGUUGCAUAAUGUGAAUGUGUGUAAUUCCAGUAAAUGGUACAUUUAAACAUGUGAAAAUGGUGAAAUUUUGUGUUAGGUGUUUUUUACCACGGUUAAACAAAAGUAAUCAUUUUUGCCCUGUUUCUAAGCCAUGCUGAUGGGUGCCUGUCUCUUUUCUCUUCCCUGAUGUUGGCACAUCCCCAGUUUCCUCUUACUGUGCAUCUCACAUACCUUUCUCUUGUGGGAAUUCCUCAGGUUACACUUAUUUUGGGAUCAACCGUCUAUGACACCCACCCCAUGGAAACCAAAGGGAACACGCCUUCCCCCUCGGGGCCCCCUGUGAUGGUUUCUGCUCCUCAUCACUGGACACUGCCUAUGGUCUGUUUCUUCCUGGCCCGGCCGCUCUCCAGAGAUGCAAAUGCUGGGUUGUUUUCUGCAGCUGCAUUGAUUAGCUGUAUCAGUGGGCUUGGUUUAAUUGCAGUGACUCCACCGUUAACAAAUUUAUACAAGGUGCAGUAAGAAAAAUGUCUUUGGGAACUUCCAUUUCCCCAAAAGAGAAAAUGUAACAUUUCCCUGCAUCAUUUGAAUUUUUUACUGCUAAUAAAUGCCUGGCACUGCUUUUUGGUGUGAUAUUUAAGUCCAAAGGGAUAUUGUGGAGCCUAUGUGUACAUGAUUUAAUGUAGAACAUAGAAUUUUACUGUUGGAAGGGAUUUCUGAGGGGUUUUAUUUCAACCUCCUCAUUUUAUAGAGGAGGAAUUUGGGGUUUUUACUAGGGAAGUGGUCAUGGCAGAGCCAGGACUGGGCCGAGGUCCCAAUUUGUAUUCUGGGCUCCUUCUAUUCCUUGAUGCACCCUCCUAGGACUUAUUAAAGUGUACUUGGUGCCAGGUAGCCAAACACCAUUUCAGACCAUGAUAUAUCUAUUAGCUUGAAGUGACUGUGUGCUGAAUUUGUCAGCAGUGAGAAGUGACUUCUCACUGUCUUCGAAGUCCUCUGUGGGUGGCCCUCCCUUCACUCAAAAGAUGUUCCUUUGAUGUCAUGUGCAAAAGUCAGCUUUUGAACUGAGGAUUCCAGGGAGCUGAGUAUUUGAGGACUGUUGGAUGGAUGCAGUCCAAAGACGGAAAACGUCUUCCACACCAUGAAAAAAAAAAUCACCCUUUAAUUGACCUCCCAUGGGAAGGCUUGUUUGCAUUCACCUUGGACACCCUACCUUUACUCACCCCAUCAUAUAUGAUACCCUUUAGAAACCUUGUCAAUACUUCCUACGUGGAUGUAAGCAUCCUGAAGUCCUGCUGCAGCUUCUAGCUCCUAGCUCCUGUCCAGCACUCAGGAGGGGCCCUUUCAGUCUGGUUGUACUGAAUUUAAGUAGACCAUUCACAGGAAAAGUAUGGUCAAAAAUAAAAGGCAGCUUCCUUAAGCAUUGGGCACAGUGUUUGGUAACCAGAUAGAAUUAGCCCCACGAAGCUUCACAAGUGAGAUGAGCUGUGGUCUUGGUUUUGAAGGAUAGGCAGAAAACUCAUGCAGGCAACUCUAGUAGAGGAAAAACAGCCUGCUUAGGAAGAAGGAAGUACAGAGAGGAGAGGGAAAAGCAAACUGUCCAGGAUGGAGGUGGGCAGUGAGCUUCCUUUGCAUUGUUGACCUAACUCAAUGUGAUUCCUGCCACUCCCUCUGACUCCCUGUCAUGUGUAGUGGUGGGUUCCUCAGUGGCCACUCUGUCUUGAAGCACCCUCCUGAUAACCUACAGCUGAUGGAGCCGAGGAUGGCCCCCUGAUCCAGGCUGGGGCAAUCAGUCUCUUUCCUGAGAAUUUGUACUAGGAACUGGGAGAGGAUCUUGAGUCUCUGGCUCUGUCAUUUGAGCUUGGGUCCUGUGAGAUGGACAUCUGGUACCUGCCCCAGAGGCUGUAGAAAGGAAGAAGGGUGGUUAGCAGAGGGAGAGGAGAGAGAUGAGGCUAAACUGGAUGUUAUUCCAGCUUCCGGGACCCAGCCCUGUCCCAGGGCCAGUUGCAGCCCUGCCUGCAUGUCCCCUUCAGCAUCUCUCUGAUUGCAGUAUGGAUUCUCCUUUUCUACUUAGAUCACUUCUGAGAUGGAGUGAGACUGGUUCUGUUCUUUGUACCUGGAAAAGUGUUAAGGAAUAGAAGGAGCUUCAGGGAGGAGAAUUAGCAUUCUGGUUGCAUCUCACAGGCCUGUUGGGGAGGUCUGAGUUUGAUCUCCCUGGCAGCCAGGCUUAGUGGCUUGGUCCUAGUGUGCUUAGUGGCUUGGUCCUAGUGUGCCUGAGUCACUCUGUCAUGUCUGCUGUGAUGUGGCACUCCUGUGCCAUCUGGACUUAGGACCAAGAGUGGAGAUCCUUGGCUGGAUGCUCAUAUAUUCAUUUGAACCUUGCAUAUCUCCACCGUGUUCUGUACUAGAUGCUGCUGUUAGACAUGGCUAGAGUCCAGCAGGGGGGACUAUAACAGUGCCCCCCGCCCCCCACCAGUCCAUUCUUCUAAGGAAGAAUUUACGUAGACUUAAAGAUGGAUAUUCAGUAAUAUCUUCUUCCUCCUUGUAGGUUGUGGGGUUCACACAAGAUGUUAAACAUCAGAGCAAGAGGGUGAGCUUUCAAGUUGGGGAGGUGAUUCAGGAGGCAGUGGAGAGGACAGCAGGGUAGGAGCAGGAUUAGUGGUGAUGGACAGCAUCAGCCAUGGUAACGGCAUCGGAAGAGAGAACAUUAAUGGUACCAGCAAGAAGGUACAGACCACAGGACUCUCUGAAUCUAUGGCUGCCUCAUAAGGGGACUGCUAAGGUUAACUGAGUAAGAGCAGGUUUGGUGGGUAUAUUGAAGCUGUAUUUCAGAUAGGUGGCUUAGGGGCCCAGGGCAAGCAAGAUAAAGACAUCAAGGAUGGAGCCAGGGCCAGAGACCGCUGCUUGGGAAUCAUUAGGCUCUGGGUGAUCUUUGAAGCCAUCAGCCUGGAUGUGGCUUUCCAGGGAGAGUGUUGGAGAGGAAGUCAAGACUAAGGCUUGGGGAUGCCAGUGUUUAAGGGAAGCCAAGAAAAGAUGGGUCCACAAAGGACAUUGAGAAGGUCUAGCAGGAGAGGUAGGAGGGAACCUGUUAUCCUGAAUUGUUAUUAUUCAUUGAAGGUUUAGUAUGAUAGAGGCACUGUGCUUGGGGUUUCAUGUAUUGUACUCUUUAAAUCUGCAACAACCUUGCAGGUGGGUAUUGGUCAUGGUUGAUGGGCUCAGAGUUUAAGUAACAUGCCCAAGUUUAAGGUCUGCAGCCAGCAUGGCAGACCUGCCUCUUUUCAAAGAACACGUUCUUCUCCACCCCAUGGGAAAGGUGGUUGCAGCAGAGAUGGGGGCACCAGAGUCCAGAAAACCCACCUUCUUUCACUUGACCUGAGCAACUUGAGCAGAUGUCAAGUUCAGGGAACUUGACCAUUGCAGGUACAAGUCUGGGGGUGGGUGGGCACUGACCUCCUUUCUCUGCUGGCCUCGCUGAGCAGGCCAUGAAAUGGAGACCUGGACAAAGAGGCUAUUUAAAAUGGAAUAUGGAAAACAGUGCCAGCGAAGUAAUUGCAUCAUGAAUUGUGGCCAGAAAAGGAGCCUAGCAACAAACUCAGUUUCUGUUGGGCACAAGACACAGAGAACUUACUGUACCCAGUUCUGUCUUUUUCCUUCUUGUUGGCGUCUUUAUUUUUCUUUCUUGAGUACACUGGUGGACCAGCUUUAUCUAAGGUCCUGGGGUUGGCGUGGUCCUUCUGAGCCUUGAAGUGUUUGGGGAGGUCCCUCAGGUGGUAUGGAUGUGGGCAUAUCCCCUGUCUAACAUUGGCUGAGCACUUGUGUGCAAGAGAAUGUACCUGAGUGUUGUCCACAUAUUACCUUAUUUACCUGUUGGCCCCCAACCCUGUGAGUUAGGUAAUAUAAUUAUCUUUUUCUUUUCUUUUUUUUCUUUUCCUGGUGGGGAAACUGUGCUGGGGAAGGUUAAGACCUUGUCCAUGAUCCCAUGGCUAAUGGUGGUGAAUUAGGGCUUGAACUUGGCCCGCUGACCUUCCACAGUUAUUCUCUGCAUCUUCCCUCCUUUGUCAGGGGCUGGUAUCUUGUCCAGUCCGAGUCUCCUUGGCCUGCGUCUGGUUUUCUUGGCUCUCAGCUGUGAUUGUCGUGGAAGACCCUGCAGGGCUAGCAAAGCUUGUUGGAGAGGGAGCUGGCUGAGUGACCUGGAAGAGGUAGAACAGCUUGUUCAGAGGUCUUCCUUUGAGAGGUCGACACCAGGGGAGCUGCUGAAGGCCCAGGAGUGGGUCAUGUCACCACAAAGCUUUGUUCCUGUGCUUCUCUGGCGUUCAGACGAAGCUGUUGCUUAGACUCUGGAAAUUGUCAUGUGACUGAACAUCCCGUGGCCUCUGGGGGCAGUCAUGGGGGCCCCCUCCUUCCUGUGGGGAGGAGCUGUGCACGGCAGGCUUGGUUGUGAACAGCUGACUGCUCACUGCUCACCCCCCGCCGGGCCCUGGAUGGAACAUCCUAGUGAAAGCCAGUGUCUUAAUACUUAGCAACAUUGCCUUUGUUUAAGCCUCUUGCUUAGGGAUUUUCUUGUGUCACCAGGGUGGUUCUGUGCUCCCUUGCUAAUGAAUUAUCCAGGAGUCAAUGGCCCGUGCACAGUGGAUUGGUUUGUCAUCCAUGCGGCAUAAGACACAGCUGUCAGCCUUGUGUGACUGGAACCCGAGGUCAGGGCCUCUGAGGUGAUGACGAAGCUGCCCCAUUAGCCGCGUUCCCGUUCCCUCCCUGUGCAUGGGGAGCCAGCACGUGCGCUUGGCUUGCCACUCAUCUGUGGUGCGCAGUGGUUCAGGCCUGGAAGGCGGCUAAGACUUCUGAUGGGAUUUAUCUCCCUGAGCAGCGUGAUUUGAUAAACGCUGGCAUCACAGACUUGGGGAGUGAAAAGAACCUUGGUUCAAUCCCUUUAUCUUGCAUCUGUGAAAACAGAGGCUGGAGAAAGGAGGUUGGUUCCGUGGCUGGGUCUCUGGGCUGGAAGCGGAGGCAGACCCUCUGCCUGGUGCCCCCAAUUUCUCUGGGAUACUGCUGCAGAUACUUCAGUGGCAGAUGCCUCGAGGGCUGAUCCUGUGGCCUGAGAAAACGGGGAGGAAGAUGAUAACGAGAUGGGAGAAACCUCACCACUCUUCCGUCGGGCGGGUUUCUUCUCAGAUGCUCUGAUGUUGAACAUUUGAUUUAGCCUCACUCGUUGCCAUCCAGAAUCACAGCCACAGUCGUGAGGAAGGCUCAGCCACUUUCUGCCCAGUGAACGAGGAUCAGCUGUCAUGUUAGAAAACUCCCUUGCUCUUCAGGUUAUUAAAGAACUAUUAGUGCCCUCCGACAGGCAUGUAAGAAAUGAAGCCUCCGGAGGCUUGCAUAGCAGUAAUAAGUGCCUCGUUUGCACCCAAGGAUUCGCUUGCUCACUCAGCAGGAUCUGGGUCAAUAGACAUCAUUUUCAUAAGACAUUUAUCUUUCUUUUUCAUAUUAGUUAGACUAUUUUUUUUUUUCCUGGCAUUUGCUUUGGAGCAAUAGGCUUUUGGGAAAAAAUAAAACAGGCCGAUUAGAAGAAUAAAGCUUGAAUUGAAUUUGGGUACAAGAGAAUAAAAUGUAACUUCCAAUGCUCUGGACCACUUCCAUUUAUGUCAGUCCUUUGCCAUAAUGAGGUUUAGAUUUAAAAUUCAAUUCCAGUUUCUGUAAGGUGAUUGCUCACAAGGAAGGGUGCAGAUAGUAUUAACAAUGGUACUUGGGGAGAUUGGCGAGGGUGUGUAAGGAGGAGCCUGAAGAGCAGGUGGCAGGGGUUGACCCCUGAUCCAGUCAGCCAAUGGCACACACCAAGAGUGCCCAGGUACCCGUUCAUUCCUGUUGGUCUUGGUUUUGCUUUUUGAUGAGCAUCCUUCCAAACGCUCAGUGUACACACUCUGACUUUCAGUUACAUUCUCGGGCCAUGCAUGGCCUGAAUUAUAUUUCCCCCAGAAUUCGGAUGCUGAAGCCCUAACCCUCAUGGUGACAGUGCUUGGAGACAGGGCUUUUAGAUGGUAAUUAAAGUUGAAGGGUGAGGGUCCUAGUGUGAUAGAUUUCUUUGUCCAUCUGCCACAUGUGUGCACAGUGAGAAGGGCGUCAUUGACAAGCCAGAAGGAGAGUCUCGCCAGAGCUCACCCAUGCUGGCACCCUGGUCUCGGACUUGUGGCCUCCAGAACGGCAAGAACAUUAAUUUGUGUUGUCGAAGCCCCCAGGCUAUUGUAUUUUGUCAUCACGACACAAGCUGACCCGUGGCCUCCCUCCCUGCUUUCCUUCCUUUGUUCUUAUUUCAUGUCAGCAGUUUCAGUUGAGGUCUAUGAAAUUUGUUGGUUUAUAAGGGAAUCAUUAGGCAGCUUUGGAUGCAUUUUGCCCUGGAACUAGUGUUCUGGGUAUGACUGGGUUGCCACGUGGCCCUGAAACAUCUGUGUAAGCCAUCAGCUACCUAAGUAGCCCGUUCAGGGAUGUCCCGUGAUAUUUAGACACCAUUAAAGGAGAAAGUGGAUAAUACAUUCACAUCGUUCAAAAAAGUCUAAAUAGAGAGUUUCGUUUUCAUCUUGCCCACCAUCCAUCCAUUUCCACUGUUGCCUCCCCAGGAAACAUGUUUAUUCGUUCGAAUAUACACAUGUACAUAAAUUUAACUUCCCAAGACUUUAAAAAAUUUUUUCCAGAUGGUCUUUUAUGGUACCACGCUACUUAUAUUUCAUAGUUGCAAUAUCUUUUCUUAUCCCUCUGAGGAUAUUAAUCAAAAUUAUUUUUGCUUUCUCCCCUCCCUGUAGAGUCUUUUUGCUUCCCAGUUUCUCACUUCAUUUCCCCCUCUGUUUUGAUCUUUGUCUUUCAUGUUCACAGCUUUCCUCCAGUGUCUGAUAAUAUGCAGUUGUUGGUUCAUCUGUAAGAAGGACUUUGAAGCUGCCUGUAGGCUUUGGUGUGUGGGUAGGGCAUGUUGACGCCAAGUCUCCCUGUAGGGUGAUGUGGCUGGGUUGUCUGUUUAAAAAUCAGUCUUGGUUGAGUAGUUGCAUUGUCUGCAUAUGGACCACAUCUUCUUCAUCCCUUCUUACAUCAGUGGUGGCUUAGAUUGUUCCCAUAUCUUGGCUGUGGUAAAUAAUGACAAUAGUACAACAAUAAUACGAAGAACAUAGGGGUGCAUGUGUCUUAUUGACUUGGUUUUCCAUUCUUUAGGUAAAUACCUAGGAUUGGAAUAGCUGGAUCCCAUGAUCGUUUGGUUCUUUUUUUGAGGAGUUGCCAUACUGUUUUCCUUAGUACCUGGUGUUUGGUGGUGGUGCAUGUGCAUGGGAGCCAAGCGUAUCCAGAAGUCGACCUGUCAUGUUAUAUGCAUAAAAUGUAUACAGCUUUGUAAACCCGAGUUAACUCAAGAAAAGAGAAUCAGUGUUGAUAUCUUCUGGGCUUUCCUCUUUGGUUGCUCAGAUUCUUCAGAGCAACUACCAUCUCCUGCCUGGAGAGUGAAGGGCAGACUGUUGGUGUUAUGGAGAGCCAGUGGGGAUGAGAAGGCUGGGGUGUGUAUCUGUGUGAUUAUCUCAGAAUCCUCCUUUGUUUGCCUAAUUCUCUAUUUAACCCUCUAUUUUAUAUGAGUUACCCUCGCCUGCAACCAGUGCUGCGGUCUUUCGAUGAAGAGACCCUCUAAUAUGGGCUGUCCUGUGAUGCAUCUCCCAGGUCGGUUUGCCACAGUGUGAAGUGGAUAUUGAUCAUGAGAGAACCAUCAUGCAUCUGCGAUGUGGUUUGACCAACCCAGUUCUUUUUCAUCACUAGGCUUUUGGACCCAUUUGUCACUCAUUCGCCAUUCAUCCUUCUGUUCAUUUGCUCUGUCAGGGCCUGGAGAGAGAAGCGUAUCCUUCAUGAUGUGGUGUUGAGAUUUAGGCAUAUUAUUUCAGACGUUCCUUGCUUGGUGUAGUUUCCUUGUGAGUAAAAAUAAAGAAAGAUGUAUAGGAAUAACAGAACGAGAAGUGUUGUAGAAUGCAUAUGAAGAAAAUGACAAAAAUGUAUCAACUGACAAAAAAGAAAUAAAGGGGGAUGAGGGCUGCCAGUUUCUUCCAGUGUGAUCAAGAUGUCAGUUCUUUCCAAGCCAUGUAUCAUUUCACCCCCGUACAAUAAACGUCUCAGCUGCGGUUUUCUUUCUUUCUU
Non-coding RNA from Sus scrofa (pig), 8618 nucleotides. The record is from RefSeq and is a predicted model, not a curated record. NCBI's taxonomy places the organism in Eukaryota, Metazoa, Chordata, Mammalia, Artiodactyla, Suidae.